UACGUAGGGGGCAAGCGUUGUCCGGAAUUAUUGGGCGUAAAGCGGGCGCAGGCGGCUCUUUAAGUCUGAGGUGAAAGCCCACGGCUUAACCGUGGAGGGUCAUUGGAAACUGGGGAACUUGAGUACAGAAGAGGAGAGUGGAAUUUCACGUGUAGCGGUGAAAUGCGUAGAUAUGUGGAGGAACACCAGUGGCGAAGGCGACUUUCUGGUCUGUAACUGACGCUGAGGCGCGAAAGCGUGGGGAGCAAACAGG
RNAcentral lists this unclassified non-coding RNA (253 nucleotides) under uncultured Caryophanales bacterium. RNAcentral describes it as "uncultured Bacillales bacterium contains 16S-23S intergenic spacer region". It matches the Rfam family "Bacterial small subunit ribosomal RNA", at positions 524 to 776 of the family's 1533-position model. Lineage: Bacteria; Bacillati; Bacillota; Bacilli; Caryophanales. The record is from RNAcentral.